AUUGAACGCUGGCGGCAGGCCUAACACAUGCAAGUCGAGCGGAUGAAGGGAGCUUGCUCCUGGAUUCAGCGGCGGACGGGUGAGUAAUGCCUAGGAAUCUGCCUGGUAGUGGGGGAUAACGUCCGGAAACGGGCGCUAAUACCGCAUACGUCCUGCGGGAGAAAGUGGGGGAUCUUCGGACCUCACGCUAUCAGAUGAGCCUAGGUCGGAUUCGCUAGUUGGUGGGGUAAAGGCCUACCAAGGCGACGAUCCGUAACUGGUCUGAGAGGAUGAUCAGUCACACUGGAUCUGAGACACGGUCCAGCCUCCUACGUGAGGCAGCAGGGGGUAAUAUUGGACAAUGGGCGAAAGCCUGAUCCAGCCAUGCCGCGUGUGUGAAGAAGGUCUUCGGAUUGUAAAGCACUUUAAGUUGGGAGGAAGGGCAGUAAGUUAAUACCUUGCUGUUUUGACGUUACCAACAGAAUAAGCACCGGCUAACCUCUU
RNAcentral lists this ribosomal RNA (483 nucleotides) under uncultured bacterium. RNAcentral's name for it is "partial 16S ribosomal RNA". It matches the Rfam family "Bacterial small subunit ribosomal RNA", at positions 30 to 506 of the family's 1533-position model. The record is from RNAcentral.